AUGAGUAUACUAACUCCAUAAACA
This 24-nucleotide transfer RNA is filed under the name Cervus elaphus (red deer). RNAcentral describes it as "partial tRNA-Phe". Lineage: Eukaryota; Metazoa; Chordata; Mammalia; Artiodactyla; Cervidae. The record is from RNAcentral.